CGGAGAAUGUUAUCACGGGAGACACACGGCGGGUGCUAACGUCCGUCGUGAAGAGGGAAACAACCCAGACCGCCAGCUAAGGUCCCAAAGUCAUGGUUAAGUGGGAAACGAUGUGGGAAGGCCCAGACAGCCAGGAUGUUGGCUUAGAAGCAGCCAUCAUUUAAAGAAAGCGUAAUAGCUCACUGGUCGAGUCGGCCUGCGCGGAAGAUGUAACGGGGCUAAACCAUGCACCGAAGCUGCGGCAGCGACGCUKAUGCGUUGUUGGGUAGGGGAGCGUUCUGUAAGCCUGCGAAGGUGRCCUGUGAGGGUUGCUGGAGGUAUCAGAAGUGCGAAUGCUGACAUAAGUAACGAUAAAGCGGGUGAAAAGCCCGCUCGCCGGAAGACCAAGGGUUCCUGUCCAACGUUAAUCGGGGCAGGGUGAGUCGACCCCUAAGGCGAGGCCGAAAGGCGUAGUCGAUGGGAAACGGGUUAAUAUUCCCGUACUUGGUGUUACUGCGAAGGGGGGACGG
Molecule: ribosomal RNA, 509 nt
Filed under: Salmonella enterica subsp. enterica serovar Heidelberg
Lineage: Bacteria; Pseudomonadati; Pseudomonadota; Gammaproteobacteria; Enterobacterales; Enterobacteriaceae
Description: bacterial LSU rRNA
Rfam family: Bacterial large subunit ribosomal RNA
Source: RNAcentral